RNAcentral lists this ribosomal RNA (253 nucleotides) under uncultured bacterium. RNAcentral describes it as "partial 16S ribosomal RNA". It matches the Rfam family "Bacterial small subunit ribosomal RNA", at positions 524 to 776 of the family's 1533-position model. The record is from RNAcentral.
GACGAACCGUCCUAACGUUGUUCGGAUUUACUGGGCGUAAAGGGCGCGUAGGCGGCAUAUUAAGUCAGCUGUGAAAUCUCCGAGCUUAACUCGGAACUGUCAGCUGAUACUGAUGUGCUAGAGUGCAGAAGGGGCAAUCGGAAUUCUUGGUGUAGCGGUGAAAUGCGUAGAUAUCAAGAGGAACACCUGAGGUGAAGACGGGUUGCUGGGCUGACACUGACGCUGAGGCGCGAAAGCCAGGGGAGCAAACGGG